UUGUGGGGUGCUCGAGUGGCGAACGGGUGAGUAACACGUGAGUAACCUGCCCUUGACUUUGGGAUAACUUCAGGAAACUGGGGCUAAUACCGGAUAGGAGCCCCUGCUGCAUGGUGGGGGUUGGAAAGUUUCGGCGGUUGGGGAUGGACUCGCGGCUUAUCAGCUUGUUGGUGGGGUAGUGGCUUACCAAGGCUUUGACGGGUAGCCGGCCUGAGAGGGUGACCGGCCACAUUGGGACUGAGAUACGGCCCAG
Molecule: ribosomal RNA, 253 nt
Filed under: uncultured Actinomycetales bacterium
Lineage: Bacteria; Bacillati; Actinomycetota; Actinomycetes; Actinomycetales
Description: partial 16S ribosomal RNA
Rfam family: Bacterial small subunit ribosomal RNA
Source: RNAcentral